Molecule: transfer RNA, 52 nt
Filed under: Oxyrrhis marina
Lineage: Eukaryota; Dinophyceae; Oxyrrhinales; Oxyrrhinaceae
Description: partial tRNA
Source: RNAcentral
AGUGGCCUAGUUGUAUGACGCACGCCUGGUAAUCGAGGAGACGCGGGUUCGG